RNAcentral lists this long non-coding RNA (1768 nucleotides) under Heterocephalus glaber (naked mole-rat). RNAcentral's name for it is "lncRNA (ENSHGLG00100036534.1)". The record is from RNAcentral. Lineage: Eukaryota; Metazoa; Chordata; Mammalia; Rodentia; Bathyergidae.
CUUUGGGAGAAAUAAGUGCAUUGUGUAACAGUAAAUCUACACCAAGCUCUGAAGUAGAAAAUAAAAUUAUUUAGAUUUCUGUUUUAGAAGAAAUGCUUCUUUGGGCAUGCACCAGAACCCACCGGAGAAUCUAGUUGUGCCUCUGCUUGAUCAGCAGCCCAGAGAGAGUACGAAUGCGAUCCAGAUGGUGCAGCUCACAUCCACCAUGGGGACUCAAACCCAGGUUCUAUCAGAAAGUGUGUCUCCUGUCACCGCUGAUGCUCGGACAGCCCAUCUGUCGCCUCCUUGCAUCUCGUGCUGGUGUCUGUUCCUGCUGCUUUGCUCACACUGCCUGCCUGGCCCCAGCUCAUCUCCCGCUCAGUUUUGGACCCAUGCAUCAGCUGCCCAGGAACUUGUCUGACUUGGACAGCCCUGCUUGGGUGCAUCUUGCAUGUGGUCGCCAGCCCUCCUUCCAAAAGAAGCAAGCUGCCCUGUCCUUGGUAGCCCUAUGGAGAAGCCCAUGUUGGAAGGAACGAUGUCAUCAACCAACAGCCAACAUCCAACUGAACAAGCUGGGGAACAGGUUUCCCCUCCAGCCACCCGCCCUGAAACCCUCAGCAGAUGCCUCUGGUGCAGCCUAGAGAGACACCCCAAGUAAGGGGCAUCCCCCUAAGUGGCUCCUGGAUUCCUGGCCUGCAAAAACUGUGAGGACAGUGCUAUCUAAAAAUUUUACCUAGAGGUUGCAAAGAUAUUCUUCCAUACUUGCAUCUCAAAUGUCUUUAAAAGAUGUGAAGAAAAGAAGGUGGAUGUCCUAGAGAGCCUAGAAGAGAAGGAAGAACGAGGGAUUGGGUGUCCUGGUUUCCCCUCUGGGUGAGGUCUGCAGGCCGGCCAGAAGCUGAUCUUCCAUUCUCUACACAGUGGAAGAAAAGCGUGCUCCAUCUUUUGUGCUGGGUGUCAACUCCCUUCCUGAAUCUGCCUGAUUUUGUUCAUAUUCUAGUCCUUUAGAAUCUGUUCCCAAGAAUGUGUCUGAAACUCAGGGAACAAAUGCCGGCUAUCCUGUGGGUUAUCCCAUCCAGGUCAAUUUGCAGGCUUCCUAGGAAUCCAAACGAUGAGGAAGAUGAAAUCUUAAUUAGCUGGUAAAUAUAUUCCCCACAGAUGCCCACAAAUCUGGUUCUCCAGAGCUGCCAUGUGUCCUUGACCUACUGGUCCAGUUGUCCCCAAACCUCUGCCUGUUCCCUGCUCUGCUUUAGCAGGCGGCUUCAGAAUUGCCCCACGAAAGAACAUCGAACUCAUCAUCUCCCUUCCACAUCCACAUUCUCAUCUCUCUCCUCCUCUGUUCUUCAUUUCUGUUCAUCCUUCAACCAACCAGUUCCAGGUCUCAGUGUCACCUUUGGCUUUCUCCUCUGCAUUGCUUUUCAUACUCAAUCAUCCACCCAGCCAUGACCGUUCUACCAUGAAAUCACACUGUAAGUUUUCUAUUCAUUUUCAUGUGUGCUGCCACAUUCUUGGAACAUAUUCUUGUUCUCUGGCCCCAGAUGCUAUGUUAGCCUCCUGACCUCUGUUCUUAUAAGAUUUCUGUUCUCCAGUCCCACCUACAUGGUGAGAAAAUUAAUUUUCUAUAUCACAUGUUCUAAAUUCUUUAAUGAUGUGUGUUUCCUUACAAUCAUCAAUCUUUUGGGCUCAAAUAACUUUUUUCUUGCACUCUUUUCCUAUAAACAACCCACCCAGUUUUGUUCCAUUCUAAGCAGGUCUUCCUUUGGCCUGUCCUUUUGUAAGAGCUCCUCCCCAC